This 757-nucleotide ribosomal RNA is filed under the name uncultured Chloroflexota bacterium. Its description in RNAcentral is "SSU rRNA". It matches the Rfam family "Bacterial small subunit ribosomal RNA", at positions 47 to 818 of the family's 1533-position model. The record is from RNAcentral. Lineage: Bacteria; Bacillati; Chloroflexota.
CNUAAUGCAUGCAAGUCGAACGAGCGACCCGGGCUUGCCCGGUUAGCUAGUGGCAGACGGCUGAGUAACACGUAAAUAAUCUGCCCCGAAGAGGGGGAUAAUCCAGAGAAAUCUGGCCUAAUACCCCGUACCUAUCUUUUCAGCCUGCUGAAUUGAUAGAAAGGUUUAUUCCGCUUUGGGAGGAGUUUGCGGCUUAUCAGGUAGUUGGUGGGGUAAUGGCCUACCAAGCCGAAGACGAGUAACCGGUGUGAGAGCACGAUCGGUCAGAGGGGGACUGAGACACGGCCCCCACUCCUACGGGAGGCAGCAGCAGGGAAUCUUGCGCAAUGGGCGAAAGCCUGACGCAGCGACACCGCGUGGAGGAUGAAUGUCUUAGGAUUGUAAACUCCUUUUAUCAAGGAAGAGAACGGACGGUACUUGAUGAAUAAGGUUCGGCUAACUACGUGCCAGCAGCCGCGGUAAUACGUAGGAACCGAGCGUUGUCCGAAUUUACUGGGCGUAAAGAGCGCGUAGGCGGUUUAUUAAGUCUCAUGUGUAAUCUCCCGGCUCAACUGGGAGGGGUCAUGGGAUACUGGUAGACUUGAAGAUAGCAGAGGAAAGCGGAAUUCCCGGAGUAGUGGUGAAAUGCGUAGAUACCGGGAGGAACACCAGAAGCGAAGGCGGCUUUCUGGGCUAUUCUUGACGCUGAGGCGCGAAAGCGUGGGGAGCGAACCGGAUUAGAUACCCGGGUAGUCCACGCCCUAAACGAUGGAUACUA